AGAACCCGACCCUAUGGUCCUAGGCUAUGGGUGGUGGUGCAUAGCCGUUCUUAGUUGGUGGAGCGAUUUGUCUGGUUAAUUCUGUUAACGAACGAGACCUCAGCCUGCUAACUAGCUAUGCGGAGGUAUCCCUUCGCGACCAGCUUCUUAGAGGGACUAUAGCCUUAUAGGCCGCGGAAGUUUGAGGCAAUAACAUGUCUGUGAUGCCCUUUGAUGUUCU
This is a ribosomal RNA of Nicotiana attenuata, 220 nucleotides long. It matches the Rfam family "Eukaryotic small subunit ribosomal RNA", at positions 1220 to 1483 of the family's 1831-position model. Lineage: Eukaryota; Viridiplantae; Streptophyta; Magnoliopsida; Solanales; Solanaceae. The record is from Rfam.